Long non-coding RNA from Eucalyptus grandis, 391 nucleotides. RefSeq lists it as uncharacterized. The transcript is spliced from 3 exons. NCBI's taxonomy places the organism in Eukaryota, Viridiplantae, Streptophyta, Magnoliopsida, Myrtales, Myrtaceae. The record is from RefSeq and is a predicted model, not a curated record.
AUGUCAACUCUGUUGCGUGUAUGGUUUGGAGUAAAGACCUGGUCGAUCUUCAGGAGCCCACAACUGGGGAAGAUCUACUUGUUCGAGCUGUCCACGUCAAAGCAUGAGCAUCGCUGCGAAAAGCAGUUAUCAUCAGCCUGAUUACCGUUGCUGGCAUCAUGAUCUUUACAGUAUCUGUUUUUGCUAUCUGCAGAUGGAGAGCUAAGAAAACAGGAAACUUGAGGGAAUUUUCAGAACUCCUUGGCUUGGUAGAGACAUCUAAAGAAUCGGCCGAAAUGAUGCAAGGAGAAGCAUGGAAAGAGCAGCUGAAGCACGACGGUUCACAGGAAUUGACCCUUUUCAGUUUUGAUAGCAUACUACUUGCCACAGACAAGUUUAGCAUGACGAGUAA